CAGCAGCCACGGUAAUACGAAGGGGGCUAGCGUUGCUCGGAAUGACUGGGCGUAAAGGGCGCGUAGGCGGUUUUGACAGUCAGAUACGAAAUUCCUGGGCCUAACCUGGGGGCUGCAUUUGAGACGUCAAGACUAGAGUGUGAGAGAGGGUUGUGGAAUUCCCAGUGUAGAGGUGAAAUUCGUAGAUAUUGGGAAGAACACCGGUGGCGAAGGCGGCAACCUGGCUCAUUACUGACGCUGAGGCGCGAAAGCGUGGGGAGCGAACAGGAUUAGAUACCCCCGUAGUCCCUGUCUCUUAUAC
RNAcentral lists this ribosomal RNA (301 nucleotides) under uncultured bacterium. RNAcentral describes it as "partial 16S ribosomal RNA". It matches the Rfam family "Bacterial small subunit ribosomal RNA", at positions 509 to 807 of the family's 1533-position model. The record is from RNAcentral.